UCCACGGAAGGCAGCAGGCGCGCAAAUUACCCACUCCCGGCACGGGGAGGUAGUGACGAAAAAUAACGAUACGGGACUCAUCCGAGGCCCCGUAAUCGGAAUGAGUACACUCUAAACCCUUUAACGAGGAUCAAUUGGAGGGCAAGUCUGGUGCCAGCAGCCGCGGUAAUUCCAGCUCCAAUAGCGUAUAUUAAAGUUGUUGCGGUUAAAAAGCUCGUAGUCGAAUCUGUGUCCUGCGACGCUGGUUCAUCGCUCGCGGUGUUUAACUGGCGUGUCUGCGAGACGUCCUGCCGGUGGGCUUAGCCUUCACGGGCGGCCCAACUUCAAAUCCCACCGCGGUGCUCUUCAUUGAGUGUCGAGGUGGGCCGGCACGUUUACUUUGAACAAAUUAGAGUGCUUAAAGCAGGCUAAAACUUCGCCUGAAUAUUGUGUGCAUGGAAUAAUGGAAUAGGACCUCGGUUCUAUUUUGUUGGUUUUCGGAACCCCGAGGUAAUGAUUAAUAGGAACGGAUGGGGGCAUUCGUAUUGCGACGUUAGAGGUGAAAUUCUUGGAUCGUCGCAAGACGGACAGAAGCGAAAGCAUUUGCCAAAAACGCUUUCAUUGAUCAAGAACGAAAGUUAGAGGUUCGAAGGCGAUCAGAUACCGCCCUAGUUCUAACCAUAAACGAUGCCAGCUAGCGAUCCGUCGACGUUCCUCCGAUGACUCGACGGGCAGCUUCCGGGAAACCAAAGCUUUUGGGUUCCGGGGGAAGUA
This 753-nucleotide ribosomal RNA is filed under the name Epimetopus sp. SLE0069. RNAcentral's name for it is "SSU rRNA". It matches the Rfam family "Eukaryotic small subunit ribosomal RNA", at positions 415 to 1125 of the family's 1831-position model. The record is from RNAcentral. Lineage: Eukaryota; Metazoa; Arthropoda; Insecta; Coleoptera; Epimetopidae.